UGGUCGGGUAGGCGCGUCUUCGCGUGACAAUCUGUUUCAGGAAUUUAAUUUGGAAAGUCGGGAGUGGAGCUGGAACGAAUGGAGCAUGCCACUCGUCUCUCUGGCUUUGCUCAUUCGACUUUUCGAAUUUCCGCGGUCGUGGUCGCGAAGUGAUUUCGAGAAAACGAACGUUGCGCUCGAGAUUCUGUGCAUGUUCUUUUUUUUCUUUUUUUCUUUGAUUUGCGAUUAGUGAAUCUCGAGCCUAGAUAUAAGUUUCAGCGGGCAUUGCGCCCGAAGGAGGAAGACCGAAGAGGCCCGACAAACUGUCACGAAGAGGGCUGCAACGAAUGGCUCCUCAUUUUUUGGACCUUUUUUGGGCCCAAAGAAUGGGAAGUCAUUGUUACUAUUUUGUCACUGUGCUCGUUUUAGUAAUAUGUAGUAAUUGUUGUUGUGCUGUCUGGCCGAUUUGCAUGCCGGCCCAUCAUCCAGAUCCAGUCAUCAUGGGCAUCGCGAUUUUUUUAUUAGUGUUGCGAUUGAUUAAUAACGGGUUGAAUUAGUGUUGCGUUAAAAUGAGAAUCGCGUUUGCAUUAGUGUUGCG
Molecule: long non-coding RNA, 577 nt
Organism: Apis florea (little honeybee)
Lineage: Eukaryota; Metazoa; Arthropoda; Insecta; Hymenoptera; Apidae
Source: RefSeq, a predicted model, not a curated record